Molecule: long non-coding RNA, 1587 nt
Organism: Eriocheir sinensis (Chinese mitten crab)
Lineage: Eukaryota; Metazoa; Arthropoda; Malacostraca; Decapoda; Varunidae
Exons: 2
Source: RefSeq, a predicted model, not a curated record
GGAAAGGAGAGGGAGGUUUAGGUAGUCAGGAAAGAAGGAAAGAUGAAAGGAAGAAGAGGGAGGAAGGGAGGGAGAUAGUGAAGGAUAAAAUACACAUUAUGAUAGAGAAGGAAGAGAUGAUGAAGGGAAGGAAAGGAGGAGGAGGAGGAGGAGGAGGAGGAAAUUUAUUGAAUUAUGAAGAGAGGGAUUAGAGGGAAGGAGAGAGAGAGAGAGAAUUGGGGGACGAAGUUUUGAGAAUAUGACCCUAUGACCUAAAACCAGAGCCGUUAAACAGAAGACCUCGACCAACUUCAUCAUCCCCGGCACCUCACUCAUCUCGCAGGGAGGCUUACGUGGACAACAACAGCUUCCUCCGCUACACCAUCGCCGAGCGGUUCACGCGGGCGGACGGAACCAGCGAUCUGUACCUGGUUCGCGAGAGGGUGUUUCCGAGUUACCUGGGCCUGUUGGUGCCUCACGACGCGCCCUACACGAGAAACCUUGACCUUUGGCUGCAGGCGAUCGUAGAGAGCGGUCUUUACAUCAAGUGGACAGAUGACGUGGUCCGCCAAAUCCGCGUCCAGAGCCAGCAGCGGCGGAGGAAGGACGCGGCCGAGCAGGAGGAGGAAGCAGGAGGAGAAGCAGGAGCAGGAGGGAGCAGGGAGGAUGUGUCGGAGGGGAGCACUGUGGCCUUGAACCCCACGCAUUUGCAAGGAGCGUUCGCCGUCCUCUUCUGCGGGGUCACUCUCGCGCUGAUCGCUUUUGUACUUGAAGUCACGUCAAAAUCAGUCAAGUUCUUUGAUUAAUUGGCUACACACACACACACACACACACACACACACAGAGACAAUAUAAAAUUAGUCAAGUUCUUUGAUUAAUAGGCUAUACAGUAACACACACACACACACACACACACAGAGACAAUAUAAAAUUAGUCAAGUUCUUUGAUUAACUGGCUACACACACACACACACACACACACACACACACACACACAGAGAGAGACAAUAUAAAAUUAGUCAAGUUCUUUGAUUAAUAGGCUAUACAGUAACACACACACACACACACACUAUAAAAACACCCGAUCUGAAAACAAACACGAUUCUACAAUUAUAUUUACUCACAAAAGUCAUAUAAUCUCACCCGCCAAUCAAUAUUCUAAAACUACAAUAAAAAGAUAACUACCACUUUAACUAAUUGAAACUACUGUACUAACUAUCUACUACUACUACUACUACGACUACUACUACACCAGCGAAGUUCAGGUUACCAUCGGACUAGGCUACCGUUUUUAGGCUACAUUGGCAACACUUGUAAGGUUUUAUUGAUAGGCUGCUUGUUGUUAAGGUUACUCCACUGUACUUCUCGUAAUUAUAGGCUACUCUUUUAUGGGCUACACCAGAAGAAAUUUUAAGUAUAGCCCUACGAUUUUUUUCCUUUUAAUAUAUUGUGAUCUUUAGUCUCGAGCAAGUUCAACAUCGAUUCCACUCCAUUUGCCAUUAUGUCUAAGUAUUUGUAUCUGGCAUGACUAUUUAACUGCAGAAUUCUCACAUAACAACAAUAACCGUUAGAAGAAUAGAAAUGAGUGAAUAAAUAAUUGUAACUGGU